RNAcentral lists this ribosomal RNA (421 nucleotides) under Bacillus sp. (in: firmicutes). RNAcentral's name for it is "bacterial SSU rRNA". It matches the Rfam family "Bacterial small subunit ribosomal RNA", at positions 123 to 529 of the family's 1533-position model. Lineage: Bacteria; Bacillati; Bacillota; Bacilli; Caryophanales; Bacillaceae. The record is from RNAcentral.
AACCUGCCUGUAAGACUGGGAUAACUCCGGGAAACCGGGGCUAAUACCGGAUGGUUGUUUGAACCGCAUGGUUCAAACAUAAAAGGUGGCUUCGGCUACCACUUACAGAUGGACCCGCGGCGCAUUAGCUAGUUGGUGAGGUAACGGCUCACCAAGGCAACGAUGCGUAGCCGACCUGAGAGGGUGAUCGGCCACACUGGGACUGAGACACGGCCCAGACUCCUACGGGAGGCAGCAGUAGGGAAUCUUCCGCAAUGGACGAAAGUCUGACGGAGCAACGCCGCGUGAGUGAUGAAGGUUUUCGGAUCGUAAAGCUCUGUUGUUAGGGAAGAACAAGUACCGUUCGAAUAGGGCGGUACCUUGACGGUACCUAACCAGAAAGCCACGGCUAACUACGUGCCAGCAGCCGCGGUAAUACGUA